GGAACAAAGAGAUGGCAAUCAAAUGAUCAUACCAGUCGAAAACAGAACAUUGCCCACCUGAUCUUGAGGAGAUCGAGGUUGUCAGUUUUAGGAACUUGACCUGGUGAUACAUACCAUACAUGUUGGCAAGAUGUUCCAGCAAUGUGUACACAGUGUUUUGAAGCGGAGACAAGUCAUCUUUUCAGAUGUUCCAGGAAUUCUCUGGAAUUUCUUCUCAGAUGUUUCAGGGAUCCUCUGAAAUUUCCCAAAGUUAGUUCAAGCACCCCUCAUUUCCAGGUUGGAAUCCUAAAGGGGGAAGAAAGUUUGAUAUGUCAGGAGAGGAGUAAGAACUGGAAAACCUAGGGAAGAAAUACGUCAAUAGCUAAGAGAUGAUUAUUGAGAAAAGAGACAAAAAUAAAUCAGAAAUAUGGGCAUUUAUUUAUUGG
RNAcentral lists this long non-coding RNA (425 nucleotides) under Mustela putorius furo (domestic ferret). Its description in RNAcentral is "lncRNA (ENSMPUG00000026632.1)". Lineage: Eukaryota; Metazoa; Chordata; Mammalia; Carnivora; Mustelidae. The record is from RNAcentral.